RNAcentral lists this unclassified non-coding RNA (334 nucleotides) under soil metagenome. RNAcentral describes it as "partial contains 5.8S ribosomal RNA, internal transcribed spacer 2, and large subunit ribosomal RNA". The stretch from base 1 to 120 matches the Rfam family "5.8S ribosomal RNA", at positions 35 to 154 of the family's 154-position model. The record is from RNAcentral.
GAUGAAGAACGUAGCGAAAUGCGAUAAGUAAUGUGAAUUGCAGAAUUCACUGAAUCAUCGAAUCUUUGAACGCACAUUGCGCCCGCCAGUAUUCUGGCGGGCAUGCCUGUUCGAGCGUCAUUUCAACCAUCAAGCCCUGCUUGCGUUGGGGUCCUGCGGCUGCCCGCAGGCCCUGAAAACCAGUGGCGGGCUCGCUAGUCACACCGAGCGCAGUAAUACAUCUCGCUUUGGGCGUGCGGCGGGUUCUUGCCGUUAAACACCCCCUUUUUACCAAGGUUGACCUCGGAUCAGGUAGGAAUACCCGCUGAACUUAAGCAUAUCAAUAAGCGGAGGA